RNAcentral lists this ribosomal RNA (654 nucleotides) under uncultured archaeon. RNAcentral describes it as "bacterial SSU rRNA". It matches the Rfam family "Archaeal small subunit ribosomal RNA", at positions 508 to 1160 of the family's 1478-position model. The record is from RNAcentral.
GCCUAAAGCGUCCGUAGCCGGCUUUGUAAGUUUUCGGUUAAAUCUAUAUGCUCAACAUAUAGGCUGCCGGGAAUACUGCAAAGCUAGGGAGUGGGAGAGGUAGACGGUACUCCGUAGGAAGGGGUAAAAUCCUUUGAUCUAUGGAUGACCACCUGUGGCGAAGGCGGUCUACCAGAACACGUCUGACGGUGAGGGAUGAAAGCUGGGGGAGCAAACCGGAUUAGAUACCCGGGUAGUCCCAGCUGUAAACUAUGCAAACUCAGUGAUGCAUUGGCUUGUGGCCAGUGCAGUGCCGCAGAGAAGUCGUUAAGUUUGCCGCCUGGGAAGUACGUACGCAAGUAUGAAACUUAAAGGAAUUGGCGGGGGAGCACCACAAGGGGUGAAGCCUGCGGUUCAAUUGGAGUCAACGCCAGAAAUCUUACCCGGAGAGACAGCAGAAUGAAGGUCAAGCUGAAGACUUUACCAGACAAGCUGAGAAGUGGUGCAUGGCCGUCGCCAGCUCGUGCCGUGAGGUGUCCUGUUAAGUCAGGUAACGAGCGAGAUCCCUGCCUCUAGUUGCCACCAUUGCUCUCAGGAGCAGUGGGGCGAAUUAGCGGGACUGCCGCAGUUAAUGCGGAGGAAGGAGGGGGCCACGGCAGGUCAGUAUGCCCCGAA